RNAcentral lists this ribosomal RNA (464 nucleotides) under Shouchella clausii. Its description in RNAcentral is "bacterial SSU rRNA". It matches the Rfam family "Bacterial small subunit ribosomal RNA", at positions 28 to 485 of the family's 1533-position model. The record is from RNAcentral. Lineage: Bacteria; Bacillati; Bacillota; Bacilli; Caryophanales; Bacillaceae.
GACGAACGCUGGCGGCGUGCCUAAUACAUGCAAGUCGAGCGGACAGAAGGGGGCUUGCUCCCGGACGUUAGCGGCGGACGGGUGAGUAACACGUGGGCAACCUGCCCCUUAGACUGGGAUAACUCCGGGAAACCGGAGCUAAUACCGGAUAAUCCCUUUCUCCACCUGGAGAGAGGGUGAAAGAUGGCUUCGGCUAUCACUAGGGGAUGGGCCCGCGGCGCAUUAGCUAGUUGGUAAGGUAACGGCUUACCAAGGCGACGAUGCGUAGCCGACCUGAGAGGGUGAUCGGCCACACUGGGACUGAGACACGGCCCAGACUCCUACGGGAGGCAGCAGUAGGGAAUCUUCCGCAAUGGACGAAAGUCUGACGGAGCAACGCCGCGUGAGUGAGGAAGGCCUUCGGGUCGUAAAGCUCUGUUGUGAGGGAAGAAGCGGUACCGUUCGAAUAGGGCGGUACCUUGACG